This 661-nucleotide ribosomal RNA is filed under the name uncultured bacterium. RNAcentral describes it as "bacterial SSU rRNA". It matches the Rfam family "Bacterial small subunit ribosomal RNA", at positions 8 to 677 of the family's 1533-position model. The record is from RNAcentral.
AGAGUUUGAUCCUGGCUCAGGAUGAACGCUAGCGGUAGGCCUAAUACAUGCAAGUCGCGCGAACACUUCGGUGUUAGCGGCGGACGGGUGCGUAACGCGUAUCUAACCUACCCUCUAGAGGGGGACAACAGCUGGAAACGGCUGCUAAUACCCCAUAACACAGCGGGUGCACAUGCACACAGUUGUUAAAGACUUCGGUCGCUGGAGGAUGGAGAUGCGUCUGAUUAGUUAGUUGGUGAGGUAACGGCUCACCAAGACGACGAUCAGUAGCUGGUCUGAGAGGAUGAUCAGCCACACUGGGACUGAGACACGGCCCAGACUCCUACGGGAGGCAGCAGUAGGGAAUAUUGGGCAAUGAGCGAAAGCUUGACCCAGCCAUACCGCGUGGGGGAAGACGGUCCACAGGAUUGUAAACCCCUUUUAUAUAGGAAUAAGGACCUAUUAGUUAGGUUUUGCAGGUACUAUACGAAUAAGCACCGGCAAACUACGUGCCAGCAGCCGCGGUAAUACGUAGGGUGCAAGCGUUGUCCGGAUUUACUGGGUUUAAAGGAUCCGUAGGCGGGAGAAUUAGUCGGCGAUGAAAUCAGGUGGCUCAACCAUCUGGCUGUUGCCGAAACUGUUCUUCUUGAAUUAGAUUGAGGUGGCUGGAAUAGGCAGUGUA